AUUGAACGCUGGCGGAAUGCUUUACACAUGCAAGUCGAACGGCAGCACGGACUUCGGUCUGGUGGCGAGUGGCGAACGGGUGAGUAAUACAUCGGAACGUGCCCAAUCGUGGGGGAUAACGUAGCGAAAGCUACGCUAAUACCGCAUACGAUCUAAGGAUGAAAGCGGGGGAUCGCAAGACCUCGCGCGAUUGGAGCGGCCGAUGGCAGAUUAGGUAGUUGGUAGGGUAAAGGCCUACCAAGCCGACGAUCUGUAGCUGGUCUGAGAGGAUGAUCAGCCACACUGGGACUGAGACACGGCCCAGACUCCUACGGGAGGCAGCAGUGGGGAAUUUUGGACAAUGGACGCAAGUCUGAUCCAGCCAUUCCGCGUGCAGGAUGAAGGCCCUCGGGUUGUAAGCUGCUUUUGUACAGAACGAAAAGGCCCUGGUUAAUACCUAGGGCUCAUGACGGUACUGUAAGAAUAAGCACCGGCUAACUACGUGCCAGCCGCCACAGUAA
Molecule: ribosomal RNA, 500 nt
Filed under: uncultured bacterium
Lineage: Bacteria
Description: partial 16S ribosomal RNA
Rfam family: Bacterial small subunit ribosomal RNA
Source: RNAcentral